CCUACACAAAUCUUCUAACGCACAGAAAACAGGUUUAUCAAGCCACGUUGUUGACAUUUGCAUACAUCCUCAGUAAGAGAGGAGCCACCUUAAUCAAUUUAUAUCACAGACACCGACCCGAAUCCUAUCCGCUCACUGAGCGUUGUGUACUUCCAGGAUCCUUGUUCACGCCCCACGUUGCAGAGCUCAACCCGGAGUGUAGGUACAAUUAGUAUUCCAGAAGAAACAGGCUUACCGGGGGAACUCUGUUUAAAACCACUUGUCUUUAUUUGUAAUACAUUAAAAUUCUUUAUGGCAGAAAAAGAA
Long non-coding RNA from Bombina bombina (fire-bellied toad), 306 nucleotides. RefSeq lists it as uncharacterized. The transcript is spliced from 2 exons. Lineage: Eukaryota; Metazoa; Chordata; Amphibia; Anura; Bombinatoridae. The record is from RefSeq and is a predicted model, not a curated record.